AGCGAACGCUGGCGGCAGGCUUAACACAUGCAAGUCGAGCGGGCGUAGCAAUACGUCAGCGGCAGACGGGUGAGUAACGCGUGGGAACAUACCUUUUGGUUCGGAACAACACAGGGAAACUUGUGCUAAUACCGGAUAAGCCCUUACGGGGAAAGAUUUAUCGCCGAAAGAUUGGCCCGCGUCUGAUUAGCUAGUUGGUGAGGUAACGGCUCACCAAGGCGACGAUCAGUAGCUGGUCUGAGAGGAUGAUCAGCCACAUUGGGACUGAGACACGGCCCAAACUCCUACGGGAGGCAGCAGUGGGGAAUAUUGGACAAUGGGCGAAAGCCUGAUCCAGCCAUGCCGCGUGAGUGAUGAAGGCCCUAGGGUUGUAAAGCUCUUUUGUGCGGGAAGAUAAUGACGGUACCGCAAGAAUAAGCCCCGGCUAACUUCGUGCCAGCAGCCGCCGUAAG
RNAcentral lists this ribosomal RNA (452 nucleotides) under uncultured bacterium. RNAcentral's name for it is "bacterial SSU rRNA". It matches the Rfam family "Bacterial small subunit ribosomal RNA", at positions 29 to 524 of the family's 1533-position model. The record is from RNAcentral.